Helianthus annuus (common sunflower) is the source of this 494-nucleotide long non-coding RNA. RefSeq lists it as uncharacterized. Lineage: Eukaryota; Viridiplantae; Streptophyta; Magnoliopsida; Asterales; Asteraceae. The transcript has 3 exons. The record is from RefSeq and is a predicted model, not a curated record.
AUUCGUUGUUAAAGUUGAUUGAGGAAUAUGAUCCUAUAUUUUUGGUGUUUAUUUUGGAUGGUCCGGAGUUUUUGGCUGCAACUAUGUUGGACAGAGAUAUGCUUGCUAUUGCUGUAAAUUGGUAUCAUGUCGGUUGGUUUUGCUUGGUAAGAUGACCAAUGUAUAUCUCUAUUUGAGGAAUUCUCCAAAGAUCCAGAGCCGAUUGUUUCAUAGAGCUGUGAAGUUGCGUUACACAUACUGGAUUUUGAACGAUCCGACAAACCAUUCGAGGUACUUGGAAGAUUAAGUCUCUUAUCUAGGUGGUUGUUACAGGUUUAGGAUGUUAAAUGAUUUUGGAUGUACUCUGCGAUGUCGAUGAUGCAGAGAUGUUGGUGAAGCUCAGGUUAACAACUUUAUGUGUAUAUUUUAAUGAAUAAAGUUUUUGUUGUUUAUAUUUUCUAAUUUAAACUUUUAAUUAACUUCUAAAUUUAAUUAAAUGAGUUUGUUUUGCAGGU